Triticum urartu is the source of this 197-nucleotide non-coding RNA. Lineage: Eukaryota; Viridiplantae; Streptophyta; Magnoliopsida; Poales; Poaceae. The record is from Rfam.
AUACCUUUCUCGGUCUUUUCGCUAAGAUCAAAUGUAGUAUCUAUUGUUAUCAGUUUAAUAUCUGAUAUGUGGGAUACAUCCUUACAAUGAUAUUAAAUUUAUUUUUUAUAAAGGUGGGUCCAUCAUAGUAGCUUGCUGCUGGGGUCCAUACGUGUUGCUUGGGCGUUGCACUGCUGCCCUGGCCCGGUGCACCCCAA